AGGAUGAACGCUGGCGGUCUGCUUAACACAUGCAAGUCGAACGGAGUAGAAAUACUUAGUGGCGGACGGGUGAGUAACGCGUGAGAAUCUACCUUCAGGACGGAGACAACAGUUGGAAACGACUGCUAACCCCCGAUGUACUGAAAAGGCAAAUAUUUAUAGCCUGAAGAAGAGCUCGCGUCCGAUUAGCUAGUUGGAGAGGUAAAAGCUCACCAAGGCGACGAUCGGUAGCUGGUCUGAGAGGACGAUCAGCCACACUGGGACUGAGACACGGCCCAGACUCCUACGGGAGGCAGCAGUGGGGAAUUUUCCGCAAUGGGCGAAAGCCUGACGGAGCAAGACCGCGUGGGGGAAGAAGGCUCUUGGGUUGUAAACCCCUUUUCUCUGGGAAGAACGCAAUGACGGUACCAGAGGAAUCAGCAUCGGCUAACUCCGUGCCAGCAGCCGC
RNAcentral lists this ribosomal RNA (448 nucleotides) under uncultured bacterium. Its description in RNAcentral is "SSU rRNA". It matches the Rfam family "Bacterial small subunit ribosomal RNA", at positions 26 to 518 of the family's 1533-position model. The record is from RNAcentral.